GGCCAAUUAGCUCAGUUGGUUAGAGCAUGAUGCUAAUAACACCAAGGUUGACGGUUCGAUCCCCACAUUGGCCA
Hipposideros armiger (great roundleaf bat) is the source of this 74-nucleotide non-coding RNA. The record is from the annotation of a RefSeq genome assembly. NCBI's taxonomy places the organism in Eukaryota, Metazoa, Chordata, Mammalia, Chiroptera, Hipposideridae.